CCUACGGGAGGCAGCAGUGAGGAAUAUUGGUCAAUGGGCGAGAGCCUGAACCAGCCAAGUCGCGUGAGGGAGUAAUGCCCUAUGGGUUGUAAACCUCUUUUGCCGGGGAGCAAAAGCCGGACGUGUCCGGCUGUGAGAGUACCCGCAGAAAAAGCAUCGGCUCACUCCGUGCCAGCAGCCGCGGUAAUACGGGGGAUGCGAGCGGUAUCCGGAUUUAUUGGGGUUAAAGGGUGCGCAGGCGGAUUGUUAAGUCAGCGGUAAAAUCGUGGGGCUCAACCCCAUCCAGCCGUUGAAACUGGGGAUCUAGAGUGGGCGAGAGGAAUGCGGAAUGCGUGGUGUAGCGGUGAAAUGCAUAGAUAUCACGCAGAACCCCGAUUGCGAAGGCAGCAUACCGGUGCACAACUGACGCUCAGGCACGAAAGCGUGGGUAUCGAACAGGAUUAGAUACCCGAGUAGUC
Molecule: ribosomal RNA, 458 nt
Filed under: uncultured bacterium
Lineage: Bacteria
Description: partial 16S ribosomal RNA
Rfam family: Bacterial small subunit ribosomal RNA
Source: RNAcentral